This 1379-nucleotide long non-coding RNA is filed under the name Equus asinus (donkey). RNAcentral's name for it is "lncRNA (ENSEASG00005029721.1)". Lineage: Eukaryota; Metazoa; Chordata; Mammalia; Perissodactyla; Equidae. The record is from RNAcentral.
CAAGUCAGUGACACCAGCGGGCUUGUCUGCUGGGAAGUUCCUCUCUCCUGGGACUGGAACCAUCUGUCCACUUGUCUGUGUCUCUCGUGAGGACAGACCCUUCUGUAUCACGUAGCGCCACACUGAGCCAGGAGCCAGCGGCCUCCCUAGAUCUGACGUGAAUUGAAAGGGCCUGACCGGGCAGGGGCCCAGGGAGGGGAUCAAAAACAGCGAUGGGAACAAACCCAUCAUAAACCUGGCAUUCCUGCAGGGAGAAACCGCAAGGUGCAGACUUGAAAGGGCCUUGCUGGGGUUCCCACUACGGCAAACGAAAGCGGGAGGGAGGCGUGAGUGUGGCCUUCCAGGCAGCUGCAUUUCUGCGUCUGGACAGCCAGCCUCGCUCGGGUGACUGCAUGCCUCAAAGCCAACUAUCCCAGCCCCGGGCCACCAGAGGAAACCAGAAAAACCCAUGCCACCGCAGCGAAAGAUUGCAGGUGAAACCGGCAAACACCACUACGUAGGGCAGUCCCGUUCCUGAGUUCUUUCUCCCUGCUAUUCAGCUGUGGCGGCACAGGCACAGAGAGGGCUCCCAACGCUGUGCUCGAGUGCACGCAGUUGGGAAGAGAGAAGCUUUUCCCCAAACCCCACUUGCCUCCAAACCCAACCUGACGUGGGCCGGAGCCUCCAUGGGGGUUAGAAAGAGCAUCAUUUAAAUUAGGUGCGCUCGUCAUUUUCACCUGUAAUGCACCAAAAAAGGGAAGGAGGGGGAGAGGAAAGGGGAAGCCCUUGCCGAGAACCAGACAGGAGAGGAUGCACACCCGUCACACUGAAACAAGGUGGUUUCUUUAGCAAGUGGGAGAGAGUUGAGGCACUGAGAAGAAGAACUAAAAUGACUGAGUUUCAUAGAGAUGCAGAGGACAGAGCGCUGACAGGCACAGUUUCUCUCUUCUUGGCCGCUGCAUGAAAUUGCCUCAAAGUCAAGACAGAGAGUGCUGUGAUGCACCAGCACGGGCCCAACGCCAGCCUCCGUGACUGUCAACUCAUGGCCAAACUUUUUUCAUUUACAUCCAACCCUCCCUUCAGAUCAUUUGGAAGCAAAUCCCAGACAUCAUGUUCUCUCAUCCGUGCAGAUAGGUUCCAUCCAUUCCUGGCUGUUGGUUGAUAUGUCUCUUAAGCCUCCUUAAUUCUGCUGCUUGUCCCUUGCCUCCGCCCACCCCCUUUGUCGGAGCUGCUGACGCCGUGACCUAGGGACACCCCACCACAACUGUUUCCAGUUCUGCUCCAACGGCUAGCCUCUGCUUCAUUUGAAACAGAUUUGCUCUGAUUUAAGGAGACUUUAAAAUUUUUAAAGUAAUUGUCAUCCUCCCCCUCUGCUGCUGGUUUUUCUUCUUUUAUUGUUU